RNAcentral lists this long non-coding RNA (1212 nucleotides) under Mus musculus (house mouse). Its description in RNAcentral is "Mir100 Mirlet7a-2 Mir125b-1 cluster host gene". Lineage: Eukaryota; Metazoa; Chordata; Mammalia; Rodentia; Muridae. The record is from RNAcentral.
GAAGUUUUCUGCUCCUGUCCUGUACUGGUUUUCACUAAGCCAACUGUGAGAUUUCUUUGUUGCAAUAUUGGGGUCUGAGAUAACACUGCUGGAGGCUGGAGGCAAGAAACAUAGCCGAAACCAUCUUUUAGUGUGUGCUGUUAUUUACUAGCGCUGUGAACCAAGGAAGCGAAAAAACAAAGAGCCCGAAGACUGCACAGUUCCAGCUUGUAGGCCCUGGAGACAGUCUGGAGUCCUCAGACGGACAGAAAGAAGACAUCAGAAGGGCAACCUGUGGUGCCUGUGGCUGCUGAGUACAGGCGUGGGUGACUGAUUUUUAAGAAAUCGGCAACACGGAAGCUGAUUAUAAAAUAUUCAUAAGAAGCUGGCUUUUACAGGUUAAUCCCCAGGACAACAUUGCUUUGAAAGAAAAAAUGUGUGAGCCAUCUUGAAGAUUUGGACUCCAGAGGCCUCUAUGUGUCCUGCCUCUGCUAGACCCAGACAACAGACUCAAGGUGAUAGAUGUUCACAGAGAAAGUAGGAGGGUAGACCUGAAGCUUUCUUCUUUGUACACACUGACACAAGACUGCUGCUGCAUUGAUUCUUGAGCAAGGCGAACAAUGGAAGAAAGCCACUUUUUGUUGUUAAAGUGAGGUAGCAUUUCUGCUGUAGUUAGAAAGAGCAUUGUCUCUCCAGUGUCCCAAAUCACUUCCAUUAAACAGUCAAUGUGAUAACUGUCUGUGACAUGUUCUAUUAUCUUUCUAGUUGUUCUGAUGUUCCUUUCAGCUGGUCCUAUAGCCCCCUUUCUCAGUAAUGUCUCCCCAGUGAAAGGAAAAAGACUGCAGAGGCUUCAGACUGACGGACGCUCAUGCCAACUGUGAAGUUGAAACAAAGCCAGUGACCAGCUGAAGAGGCCCCUCCUGCCCAGCAGCCACCCACAUGGUGCAGUUGCAGCCAGUAGUAAUCUUUGCAAGAAGCAGAGAAGCCCAGAACACUCAUGAGUCAAAACCAUGCCCUUCCUUGUGUGUAUCCCUGUCUCGUUCAGAUUGAUGCUCCUUCCAUUUGGAUCCUGGUAUGAAUAUGCUUGUUACUGUACGAGUGUAAAAAGCUUUGCCCAAAUGUGUUAAUGUAUGAAGAGACUGGAUUUUUUUUGGGGGGGGGAGAGAGUUAUUUUUAUCAAAACACAGUGUUCGUUCUUGAGAGUGAUCUAGAAAAUAAAAAGCAGUUGGAAAA